RNAcentral lists this ribosomal RNA (432 nucleotides) under uncultured bacterium. RNAcentral describes it as "partial 16S ribosomal RNA". It matches the Rfam family "Bacterial small subunit ribosomal RNA", at positions 29 to 507 of the family's 1533-position model. The record is from RNAcentral.
AACGAACGCUGGCGGCAGGCCUAACACAUGCAAGUCGAGCGAGGACUUCGGUUCUAGCGGCGGACGGGUGAGUAACGCGUGGGAAUGUGCCCUUCUCUACGGAAUAGCCCUGGGAAACUGGGAGUAAUACCGUAUACGCCCUAUUGGGGAAAGAUUUAUCGGAGAAGGAUCAGCCCGCGUUGGAUUAGGUAGUUGGUGGGGUAAUGGCCUACCAAGCCGACGAUCCAUAGCUGGUUUGAGAGGAUGAUCAGCCACACUGGGACUGAGACACGGCCCAGACUCCUACGGAGGGCAGCAGUGGGGAACCUAGACAAUGGGGGCAACCCUGAUCUAGCCAUGCCGCGUGAGUGAUGAAGGCCUUAGGGUUGUAAAGCUCUUUCAGCUGGGAAGAUAAUGACGGUACCAGCAGAAGAAGCCCCGGCUAACUCCGUG